AUGGCCUCCGGAACCUCGGCAGGUCGCGAGCCGUACGACGAGGAGGCCGCGAGCCGCCGCCCGCUCGAGCUCGGUGUCCGCGACUCCGCCCACGCUUCCGCCUCCGACCACCGGUCUGGAAAUAUUGUGCCUAGAUAUCAGGUGGGAUGUACUAAAGCUGAUACAAGUAAGAGAUACUUGGAGGGAUGGCAUAAGAAGCAAUCUAGUACAGAUGAUGUACGCAAGAGCAAGUCAGGAUACUUCACGGCAUUCGGGGUGGACCUAUCUCCUGAUAAUAUGGCAGUUGCCAUUGUAUAUUUUGUCCAAGGCCUUGAUAAUAUGGCUGAUAAUAUGGCAGUCUUAGGCCUUGCCCGACUUGCUGUGAGCUUUUACUUAAAGGACGAUCUUCACCUUGAUCCAGCUGAGACUGCAGUUAUAUCUGGCUUCUCAUCCUUGCCCUGGUUGAUCAAGCCAAUCUAUGGCUUUAUCAGUGAUUCUAUUCCACUAUAUGGGUAUCGAAGAAGAUCAUAUCUUAUUCUGUCAGGAUUUCUUGGAACACUUUCAUGGAGUCUGAUGGCUACAGUAGUGAACAGUAAAUAUGGUGCAGGAUUCUCUAUUCUUCUUGGAUCACUUUCUGUUGCCUUCUCAGAUGUUGUCGUAGAUUCUAUGGUAGUUGAGAGAGCUCGUGGCGAAUCACAAAGUACAUCUGGAUCUCUCCAGUCUCUAUGUUGGGGGUCCUCGGCAUUUGGUGGAAUUGUGAGCGCAUAUUUCAGUGGUUCGCUUGUGGAUGCAUAUGGAGUAAGAUUUGUCUUUGGUAUUACGGCAUUUUUACCAUUGAUGACAUCUGCUGUUGCAGUUCUUGUAAAUGAACAUCGCCUGACUCCUGGAGAACAUGCUAUGUCAGUCUCUGGUUCAGGAUUCAUUGAGAGCUCAAUACAGCACAUCAAGCAGCUAUGGACUUCUGUAAAGCAACCUAACAUUUUCUUGCCGACCUUGUUUAUAUUCCUCUGGCAAGCAACACCACACUCAGAGUCAGCCAUGUUUUUCUUCAUCACAAAUAAGCUUGGAUUCACUCCAGGGUUUCUAGGACGUGUAAAACUCGUUACUUCCAUUGCAUCCUUGCUCGGUGUCGGAAUUUAUAACUAUUUUCUGAAGGCAGUUCAUCUGAGGAAAAUAUUUCUUGUGACAACCAUCAUAGGUUCAGCCCUUGGAAUGACACAGGUUCUUCUUGUCACUGGGCUUAAUAGGCAGUUUGGGGUCAGUGAUGAGUGGUUCUCCAUUGGAGAUUCGUUAAUCAUCACGGUCCUUGGCCAGGCUGCAUUCAUGCCAGUUUUGGUGUUAGCUGCAAAAUUGUGCCCUCCAGGAAUGGAGGCGACUUUGUUUGCCACUUUGAUGUCCAUUUCUAAUGCUGGAAGUGUUACGGGUGGUCUUGUCGGUGCUGGUCUAACAAAGAUUUUUGGAGUCACUAGGGAAAGCUUCGGAAAUCUACCUCUGUUGAUUAUUGUAUGCAAUCUCAGUUCCUUGCUGCCCUUGCCUCUUCUAGGUCUCCUUCCAGACGAAACAGGAGAUUCAGAUAAUGAAGAAACAAAACACAGCUGA
RNAcentral lists this ribosomal RNA (1578 nucleotides) under Triticum aestivum (bread wheat). RNAcentral's name for it is "partial small subunit ribosomal RNA". The record is from RNAcentral. Lineage: Eukaryota; Viridiplantae; Streptophyta; Magnoliopsida; Poales; Poaceae.